GCAAACAGACUGCAGCCCGAGCACCAGGUGUGCUGGGAGUGAGCUCACCAGGAGCAGGGUGGUGACAGUGGAAGGCUCUCCUGAGUGCCUCCCUGGCCUCAUUAGCACCUCACUCACUGCUGGGGCCCAGAGUACUAAGAUGGAAAAGCACCGCACAGAGCAGAGAAAACAGCAUCAUCAUAGAGGCAUACAACUAGCAGUUGCUUCUCCAGGAAUGAGGCAGAAGGCCAAAAUUCUAAGUACUAAAGUUUUAAAACCACACAGAUAUAAAAAUAUACAUGUCCUUGGUGUCUGUAUGUUCCUGCAUGAUCUACUUCAGCAUAAGGAUUGUUUCAGCCUCGUAGUGUCAGUACUGCCGCCAGGCUGCCUUACCUGUGAGCUCAGCUAUCCUGAAACUCGAGAAUAUUUUUUCCUAAAUACACACCUUACCAAAAAAGCUAACUCAAAAACUGAUUUGCAAUAUGAAAUGCAGAAAACCUUUGCUUUGAUUCCUCCCUUCCUUUCAGUAACUUCCCCUGGUUUGGAUGCCCACCCUGCAUUCUCAGGGGACACCGAUCGUAAUAAAUUUUUGAAGAGGAAUGUGGUUAUUUGGGGAACACAGAAGUAA
RNAcentral lists this long non-coding RNA (607 nucleotides) under Capra hircus (goat). Its description in RNAcentral is "lncRNA (ENSCHIG00010021246.1)". The record is from RNAcentral. Lineage: Eukaryota; Metazoa; Chordata; Mammalia; Artiodactyla; Bovidae.